RNAcentral lists this ribosomal RNA (373 nucleotides) under uncultured organism. RNAcentral describes it as "partial 16S ribosomal RNA". It matches the Rfam family "Bacterial small subunit ribosomal RNA", at positions 527 to 896 of the family's 1533-position model. The record is from RNAcentral.
GUAGGUGGCAAGCGUUGUCCGGAAUUAUUGGGCGUAAAGCGCGCGCAGGCGGUUCUUUAAGUCUGAUGUGAAAGCCCACGGCUCAACCGCGGAGGGUCAUUGGAAACUGGAGAACUUGAGUACAGAAGAGGAAAGCGGAAUUCCACGUGUAGCGGUGAAAUGCGUAGAGAUGUGGAGGAACACCAGUGGCGAAGGCGGCUUUCUGGUCUGUAACUGACGCUGGGGCGCGAAAGCGUGGGGAGCAAACAGGGAUUAGAUACCCUGGUAGUCCACGCCGUAAACGAUGAGUGCUAAGUGUUAGGGGGUUUCCCGCCCCUUAGUGCUGCAGCUAACGCAUUAAGCACUCCGCCUGGGGAGUACGGCCGCAAGGCUG